AAAAUUACCCUCGAUUCCAGAGCCUUCGACAGUAAAUAAUAAAUUGAAAUCAAUUUAUUAUUUACUGUCGAAGGCUCUGGAAUCCAGGGUA
Paramuricea clavata is the source of this 91-nucleotide non-coding RNA. The record is from the annotation of a GenBank genome assembly. NCBI's taxonomy places the organism in Eukaryota, Metazoa, Cnidaria, Anthozoa, Malacalcyonacea, Plexauridae.